UGCACACCAGUCCGAGAGCCUUUUUUUCUUUCUUUCUUUCUUUCUUUUUUUUAAACCGUGACUUUAUUCAGGUUUCUCGUUGUUGAUUUUCAGGACGUUGGUGCUGCUGCUUGUGAUGUGUGCUGGCUGUCAUCCAGCACCUCUGGAAAGCACCAGAAAGGCUCCCAUCGACUUCAGUUAUGGAAGCAACCUUUUUCUCUAUGUGGAGAGACUUUGAGGCUGCACUCCUGGUAAUCCCCUUUGACUGCAGUGUAUUUUGUGCAUCUCCAGUCCUGCUGCUCCCUGGCACCUGGAAGGGGAAGAACAGGUAUGGGAAGGUAAAGACCAGAACCAUACAAGAAUGCUGUUGGUAA
This 353-nucleotide long non-coding RNA is filed under the name Dromaius novaehollandiae (emu). RNAcentral describes it as "lncRNA (ENSDNVG00000013645.1)". The record is from RNAcentral. Lineage: Eukaryota; Metazoa; Chordata; Aves; Casuariiformes; Dromaiidae.